UCAAGAAAACUUUUCAUAAAACAAGCAGUAAGAAAAAUUCAAAAUAUAGAUAGCCUUAAAAAUAGUUUCGGCUUCCAGUGCUAACUGUAGCUAUUGGGUACUUGGCCCGUACCAUGGGGCGUCCCUGACAGUUAUGUUUACAGACACCACUGCCAACAAAAACGCAUAAGCUGAACCAAAGGCAGAAGUUAUUUUUUAAAAAAUGUUAUUAACCUUUUACACUAUUUAUCAUUUGAUUUUUUUUCUUCCCUGGAGAGUAAUAUUUGACAAGAUCAUUAUGUAAAAGUAGCAUAAUUUUCUUAAAAAUUGCAAGGCUAUGUGAAAUGAUUGAUUCUUACUAAAAAAAAAGUGGAUAGAAAAAAAUCAAUUUUAGGUGAAAAAUAUGAUAAUGUGUGAACAAACUCAUUUAAUUUAUAGUUGUUGAUAAUGUUCCACAGCAGGAUAAUUGGCCAUAGGGGAUGAUUCAUGUUAAAUAAUUUUAAAAUGCCCAUCCCCUUACAAUUUAAUUUUCUAAUUCAACCGUAAAUGAAGCAAACAUAACAGUGCCACAGAGUAUGAGGAAAAUAUCUGAGCUUUGGAAUAAAAUAGUUCUGAUUUCAAAUUUAGCUCUUCUGUUACUAGCCACUGAGCCAACGACUCGGAAUUCCAUUGUCUUCAUUUGGAUUAUGGGAAUUUACUGAGAGACCUCAGAGGAAUCACUUGUCUUACAGACUCUGCACAUUUUUCCUGGUAGAAAAGAAGCAGAACUUCAAGAUUUACAAAGAAUAGUGACUCCCUCAGUAAGGAAACAGCCAAGAAAAUUACUGCUCUCCCAGCUCAGAGAGAAACAUUAAUUAGGUUCAUAUGAUGUACAGCCUGGGGAAAUGGGAACGAAUCGAGGUAGCCCUGAGACGAUCCUGCCUGUGUACAUUGACAACUGGGCAGUCUCCACCAUGGAAAACUAUUCUGUAUGAGUGAUUGUGUGGUUCCCAGAAUUUUGUGCCCUGCACUGUUAAUUUCAUCAUUGAUUAAUCUUUUUUUGUUUAGUUGUUCUCAAUGAGGGAAAUGAUGCUUUGAUCACUGUUUUAAAAUCAUACCAAAUAUAGAUUGUAAUAUCUGUUCAAAAUUGUAUGUGUAUGUUUAACUGGGGACUAAAUAGCCUACAGAGAGGGGAAUAUGGCAAAGUGUUUUGAGACAGGUAUGAUAAAAUAUUAUGCUAUUAUUCUUGGAUCUUUUGAUGAAACACGUGGCUAUUACCACAUAGACUGCAGCUAUUAUGAAGACAUUCUUAAUGUGCUCAGCCCUAAGCACAAGGGUGGAACAAAUUCCCAACAAGAACUUCUACAAUUUGUGUCAGAUGAAAGAUACAGACAACCAAAACAAACGAGCAAAAAAAUCCUCUAUGAUCACAUUUGAAUUUUUUUCCAAAAUCACUUGUAAGAAGGGGAUGUUUCUCAGCUCUGCUCUGAUACUUGAGGAUCUGAGGAAGGUGGGAGACACUGAAUCUUAUCUGCCCUUUUGGAAAUACUCAGCUGCACUCUCCCAACCGAGAGUACUGGAAAAGAGCCAAAGUCACUAUGACAAUUUCUAGGCUUAUAGCAAAGCUAGUGGUUUACUACAUCAUAUAAGGGAAGGAAGCUCUUAAUUAUCCUUUCCUUUUCAUGAGCACAACUGGCCUUCUGGGUUUUAAAUGCAUGAAAAUGUACUAUAUCUCUUUAGUAAAACAAAACAAAACAAAAAACUACAGUGAGAUCAUCACUUUUAUGUAGCACUGUAACCCAGUCAUUUAAUGGUUCUCUAAACAGAGGAGAGUGAAUACAAGAAAACACUUUUGUUAGUGAAAGUGUGAAAUUUGAAACUGACAAAUUCUUUGCAAGUCUAUUUGGAAACUUAUACUGCAACAUAAAGUGAACACCCCAAAAUCUAUAACGUACACACAUCGCUAGGACUUUUCUUACAGAUACAGUCAUUCUAAUGUGCAAAACCAUAUUUAGAAUGAUACAGCUCUAAAUACUGUUUAUAAUGAUAAAGUUGCAAAUAAUUUAAUUAUGACAGUAAAAUGAUUAAACUAGGAGUUUAAACAGUAGAGCAUCAUACAGUCACUGACUAGAGGAAUAGCUUAGGCAACUUGGACUGCUGUAACAAAAGAAUUUAAACUGGAUCUCUUAAAGAACAGACAUUUAUUUAUCAAAUUCUGGAGGCUGGAAAGUCCAACAUUAAUGUGCCAGCGUGGUUGGAUGCUCCUGAGCGCCUCCUCUGGGCUUGCUGAUGGCUGCCUUCUCACUGUAUCUGUACAUGGUAGUGACAGGAAAUGCUGGAGUCUCCUCUUUUUAAAAAGAUUCUUCCAACUCUACAAGCUUUAAUUUUAUGACUUGAACAAUUAUUUCUAAGAUGGCAAUAUGUAAUCCAUUAACUAGUGAUUUCCUACUGCGCAUUUUUUUCUUCUGUAAAUCUGUAUAACUUGUACCCCUUCACUGUUUUUUUUUUCUUUUCUUUUCUCCUUAAAUAAAAAAAAAAAAAAAAGAUUCUAAUCCUGGCUGGAUAUUUAGCUCAGCGGCCUGCUGUCUACUUUGCAAGCACAAAGUUUUGAGUUCAACCCCUGGUACAAAAAAAGAGAGAGACUAAUUCUACCAUAGGUGCUCUGAAUCAGCCUCAGGAACUUUGUAUUUGCUACCAUUUCAGCCGGGAAUGAU
This is a long non-coding RNA of Cavia porcellus (domestic guinea pig), 2672 nucleotides long. RefSeq lists it as uncharacterized. The record is from RefSeq and is a predicted model, not a curated record. The transcript is spliced from 3 exons. Lineage: Eukaryota; Metazoa; Chordata; Mammalia; Rodentia; Caviidae.